This 965-nucleotide long non-coding RNA is filed under the name Danio rerio (zebrafish). RNAcentral describes it as "lncRNA (ENSDARG00000117449.1)". The record is from RNAcentral. Lineage: Eukaryota; Metazoa; Chordata; Actinopteri; Cypriniformes; Danionidae.
CAAAAUAGCAGACUGGUUACAGAAGCAGUGGUGUAGUGAUUAUUGUCACCAGUAGGAGACGCUGCGAGAUACAUGAGUGCCCCGUCGCUACUUCAGCAAUGAAGAACUGAACAUGUGCAAGAAAAAAACCAUGAAGUUGUUUUCGUCAGUCUUCAGAAGAGAUUUAAAGAAAUCUGGUCUUCUGGUCAACGUAAAAGCCAUUUUCAGUGUCCUGCUGAGGAGAGAAAGCGUUGAUGGCCUAAGGGUCAGCACUUACAGAUGGUUUUGCCUCCAGACAGUUUGAAGCUCAGACAAUGAUGAUGAUGGUGGUGAUGAAACCAUGGUUAAAAAGAUGUGGUCUGAAUUUGACAGUUAGCCACAUGCGGCAGCCUCUUCUCUCUCUCAGCCUCCGUUUCUCCUCGUCUCCCAAGAGCUCCGUCAGUAUGAAGAGGCCCGAGGACGCCAUCUCAUCUUCUCUCAGCCAGUGUCAAGCAGCAAUCCUGCGGGGCCCGUCCCUGCUUAAUUCAGCUUAGAGCCCCGACAUUCCUGAUCGCCUCGUUUUUUCUUUUUUCUUUUUUCUUUUUUUCGGGUAUGCCUCUCAGGGCUGAGGUAAUUAUUUCCAGAAUAAUAAUAACAGACAGAUUAGUGUGUUUAGCAGGCAGAUGUAUUGCUCUGUUCUCUUUCCUUAUAUUUGGCUCUGAACUGAGUGACCUAUUAGACUGGAUUAAUUCUGCGGUAAAAAAUGAAAGUGGUUAAUGACCCCAGUCUCCUGUCUAAGAGGUGGAGAAAUCGCCUGAGGAGGAUUCCUUCAGACAUGCCCUGAUCUAUCAAACUCCACGCUGGACACCAGGAGCAGCAGGUGUUAAAGUCUUCAUCCGUUUCUGCCUUGGUUAUAGAUGACCUGACUGUAUGAAAUUACUCAAAUGGUGGAAAGCCAUUAAAUUCCCCGAGAAUACAGUAAAUGGAGAGGGUGGGAUGAAAAAUAG